AGCGUAGACGGAUGGACAAGUCUGAUGUGAAAGGCUGGGCUCAACCCCGGGACUGCAUUGGAAACUGCCCGUCUUGAGUGCCGGAGAGGUAAGCGGAAUUCCUAGUGUAGCGGUGAAAUGCGUAGAUAUUAGGAGGAACACCAGUGGCGAAGGCGGCUUACUGGACGGUAACUGACGUUGAGGCUCGAAAGCGUGGGGAGCAAACA
RNAcentral lists this ribosomal RNA (206 nucleotides) under uncultured bacterium. RNAcentral describes it as "partial 16S ribosomal RNA". It matches the Rfam family "Bacterial small subunit ribosomal RNA", at positions 568 to 774 of the family's 1533-position model. The record is from RNAcentral.